CUACGUAGGGGGCGAGCGUUGUCCGGAAUUACUGGGCGUAAAGAGCACGUAGGCGGCUAUAAAAGUCAGGCGUGAAAAACCUGGGCUCAACCGAGGGUAUGCAUCUGAAACUAAAUAGCUUGAGUCAAGGAGAGGAGAGCGGAAUUCCUGGUGUAGCGGUGAAAUGCGUAGAGAUCAGGAAGAAUACCAGUGGCGAAAGCGGCUCUCUGGACUUGAACUGACGCUGAGGUACGAAAGCGUGGGGAGCAAACAGGAUUAGAUACCUUGGUAGUCCACGCCGUAAACGAUGGAUACUAGGUGUGGGUUAGUAUAAUCCGUGCCGGAGUUAACGCAAUAAGUAUCCCGCCUGGGGAGUACGGCCGCAAGGUUGAA
RNAcentral lists this ribosomal RNA (372 nucleotides) under uncultured bacterium. RNAcentral describes it as "bacterial SSU rRNA". It matches the Rfam family "Bacterial small subunit ribosomal RNA", at positions 523 to 898 of the family's 1533-position model. The record is from RNAcentral.